This 29-nucleotide non-coding RNA is filed under the name Rattus norvegicus (Norway rat). The record is from RNAcentral. Lineage: Eukaryota; Metazoa; Chordata; Mammalia; Rodentia; Muridae.
GCUGUGGAAUUCUCUCCUGUUUCCUACUG